Molecule: ribosomal RNA, 206 nt
Filed under: uncultured bacterium
Lineage: Bacteria
Description: partial 16S ribosomal RNA
Rfam family: Bacterial small subunit ribosomal RNA
Source: RNAcentral
CACGUAGGCGGACUUUUAAGUCAGGGGUGAAAUCCCAGAGCUCAACUCUGGAACUGCCUUUGAUACUGGAAGUCUUGAGUAUGGUAGAGGUGAGUGGGAUUCCGAGUGUAGAGGUGAAAUUCGUAGAUAUUCGGAGGAACACCAGUGGCGAAGGCGGCUCACUGGACCAUUACUGACGCUGAGGUGCGAAAGCGUGGGAGCAAACA